This 395-nucleotide ribosomal RNA is filed under the name uncultured bacterium. RNAcentral's name for it is "bacterial SSU rRNA". It matches the Rfam family "Bacterial small subunit ribosomal RNA", at positions 505 to 898 of the family's 1533-position model. The record is from RNAcentral.
GUGCCAGCAGCCGCGGUAAUACGUAGGGGGCGAGCGUUGUCCGAAGUUACUGGGCGUAAAGCGCGCGUAGGCGGACUUUUAAGUUGGGGGUGAAAACUCAGGGCUCAACCCUGAGCGUGCCUUCAAAACUGGGAGUCUUGAGGUAUGGAGAGGUAAGUGGAAUUCCUGGUGUAGCGGUGAAAUGCGUAGAUAUCAGGAGGAACACCCGUGGCGAAGGCGGCUUACUGGUCAUAUCCUGACGCUGAGGUGCGAAAGCCAGGGGAGCGAACGGGAUUAGAUACCCCGGUAGUCCUGGCCGUAAACGAUGGAUACUAGGUGUUAGUGGUAUCGACCCCACUAGUGCCGCAGCUAACGCAAUAAGUAUCCCGCCUGGGGAGUACGGCCGCAAGGUUGAA